Molecule: ribosomal RNA, 670 nt
Filed under: uncultured bacterium
Lineage: Bacteria
Description: bacterial SSU rRNA
Rfam family: Bacterial small subunit ribosomal RNA
Source: RNAcentral
GAACUUUUAAGUUUGAUCAUGGCUCAGAUCGAACGCUGUAAUGCAGGCCUAACACAUGCAAGUCGAGCGGUACACAGUGAGCUUGCUCCUGGGUGACGAGCGGCGGACGGGUGAGUAAUGUCUGGGAAACUGCCUGAUGGAGGGGGAUAACUACUGGAAACGGUAGCUAAUACCGCAUAACGUCUUCGGACCAAAGUGGGGGACCUUCGGGCCUCAUGCCAUCAGAUGUGCCCAGAUGGGAUUAGCUAGUAGUGGGGUAACGGCUCACCUAGUGCGACGAUCCCUAGCUGGUCUGAGAGGAUGACCAGCCACACUGGAACUGAGACACGGUCCAGACUCCUACGGGAGUGCAGCAGUGGGGAAUAUUGCACAAUGGGCGCAAGCCUGAUGCAGCCAUGCCGCGUGUAUGAAGAAGGCCUUCGGGUUGUAAAGUACUUUCAGCGAGGAGGAAGGCAUUAAGGUUAGUAACCUUAGUGAUUGACGUUACUCGCAGAAGAAGCACCGGCUAACUCCGUGCCAGCAGCCGCGGUAAUAUGGAGGGUGCAAGCGUUAAUCGGAAUUACUGGGCGUAAAGCGCACGCAGGCGGUCUGUCAAGGUCGGGAUGUUAAAUCCCCGGGCUCAACCUGNGAACUGCAUUCGAAAACUGGCAGGCUAGAGUUUGUACACGGG